GUCUAUGGCCAUGCUACCCUGAACAGGCUCGAUCCCAUUUGAUCUCGGAAGCUAAGCAGCGUGGGCCUGGUUAGUACUUGGAUGGGACACCACCUAGGAAGACCAUAUGCUGUAGGUG
Molecule: ribosomal RNA, 118 nt
Filed under: Pteropus alecto (black flying fox)
Lineage: Eukaryota; Metazoa; Chordata; Mammalia; Chiroptera; Pteropodidae
Source: RNAcentral